AUUGAACGCUGGCGGCAUGCUUUACACAUGCAAGUCGAACGGUAACAGGCCUUCGGGUGCUGACGAGUGGCGAACGGGUGAGUAAUGCAUCGGAACGUACCCAGAGGUGGGGGAUAACGCAGCGAAAGCUGUGCUAAUACCGCAUGUGAUCUGAGGAUGACAGCGGGGGACCGAGCAGCAAUGUUUGGCCUCGCGCCUUUGGAGCGGCCGAUGUCGGAUUAGCUAGUUGGUGGGGUAAAGGCCUACCAAGGCGACGAUCCGUAGCUGGUCUGAGAGGACGACCAGCCACACUGGGACUGAGACACGGCCCAGACGCCUACGGGAGGCAGCAGUGAGGAAUUUUGGACAAUGGGCGCAAGCCUGAUCCAGCAAUGCCGCGUGAGGGAAGAAGGCCUUCGGGUUGUAAACCGCUUUUGGCAGGAACGAAACGGUGUCCGCUAAUACCGGGCGCUAAUGACGGUACCUGCAGAAUAAGCAACGGCUAACUACGUG
RNAcentral lists this ribosomal RNA (492 nucleotides) under uncultured bacterium. RNAcentral's name for it is "partial 16S ribosomal RNA". It matches the Rfam family "Bacterial small subunit ribosomal RNA", at positions 29 to 507 of the family's 1533-position model. The record is from RNAcentral.